RNAcentral lists this long non-coding RNA (12425 nucleotides) under Lynx pardinus (Iberian lynx). The record is from RNAcentral. Lineage: Eukaryota; Metazoa; Chordata; Mammalia; Carnivora; Felidae.
CCAUUCCUAGUCAGCCCAGAGCAGCAAUGAAAGGAAAUUUAGAUAAGAGUGUUAAGAUCACAGGGAGAAAGAAGCCUUGGAAGGGCCCCUCACUUGACUUUGGCGGCUUCUGGAAGAUGCUGUAGCUCUGAGGGCAUGUUCAGGAUGUCCGGGAAGUGCUUCUCCAGGAUCAUGAUCAGGUAAUGGAGCAGAGAGAUAUUUCUGUGGAUAAAAGAUCAGGGGUAAAGGAAUGAGCGCCAGGAAGAAACUAGAUGGGGCCGGGGGUGGGGGGGGGUGUGGCUGGGAGGUCAGGGACAAAAGGCAAGAAAUUUGGGUUGGAAAUGGGAGGAGGAGGUGGAGAAAGGCCAAAGUGGUGAGAUGGAAGAUAAGGAAGCAGAUAGAGUCCCACCUGUCAAUGCUGGACUUGGUGUCUGCAAUCUUGUUGAGGCUGGCCACCCGGAACCCAUAGGCACCCCCACGCUGCCCUUUGUUCAUGAAGUUGCCAAUGGCCAGGACGACCUCUAGCAUCCGCAUUAGACGCUUGCUGCGGAUCAGCUCCCGGGAGGCCAGCAGGAUGGCUGGGGGAGGAGGGACAGGUCAGAGUCCUGCAGAGACUGGGCAGCCCCCUUGAACCACGGGAUGAUGCCACCACAAAGUCCAGUCUUCAACUCUCAGAGGGGCAGAGGCUAUACCCAUACCACAACAGAUUGAUCUACUCCCCACCUGCCCACUUCCAAGGGAAGCAGGUAAAUUUGCCAAAAGCGACUUCAACAAAUAGCCCAUUCUCAGAAUGUGCUAACUCUUAAUAUAUUUAAGACUAUCUUUUCUUGUAUAUGUUUAAAGAUUAGUAAUAUAUUCUUUCUAUGGUUACACACAAGAAUAUAAUACUUUUACUUUUUUAAACUUAGUGAUUAAACUUUUAAAUUUCAGCAUUUUACAUAUUAUGGGACUGUUUCUGCCGCUUUUGAAAUGCUGGAGGUUUUUUAGGGUUGGGGGGAUCCCUGUCAAAUUAUAACAUGUCACCAAUAAUAUUCCCAUAUUUUUGUUCUAUAUGCUUUGUAGUUGGUGGUGUCUUUGAUUUAAUACUUUACUUAACAUCUUGUUGAAUAUCAUUUGAAAUUUUUUCCAACUUUUAGGCAUUUUAACAAUUUCUCCCCAAUUCCUUAAAAGAUACGUUUCCUAGAAAUACAAACUAAGGUUAACAGUAACCAAAACUUCAGUAUUUCAUUCCAAUGUGGAUGCUCUAGCCCACCCUCAGCUAUUAUGCACUUAUGGCAGAUGUGCAAAACUGGGAUACGAAUCCUACACUGAAAUGUUGGCUACUAGUUACGGAAUAUGCUUUUUGAUUAUUAAGUGUGGUGAUAGGAACACCAAACCAUCACAUGAUCUUCAGCUUAUGCCAAACUGAACAUUCCUAAAGAUGCUGCUAUGGAGAUAAAAUGAGAACCAUCUGACUAAAAGUCUGCAGAAAUCCUCAAAAGCAGUUAAAAAUAAGUAAUUGUAAAAAAGAAGCUGUGGAGAUUCCCCAGGACCUCCCAGCUUGUACCCACUUCAGCUUCCUUCCAGGACACUUUCUGUGUCCUGGACACCACCUGGGCCCGCUCCCGCUUCAGGCCUAGCCAUCCCACCAGGGCAACCCUAGUAUAGAGCACUCUGGGAUCCUCAGCCCAUAUCAGCCACAGCUCCAGCCAGCCAAAGUCACCAGACACGCAUAGCCUACACAAGGAAUGACCAUAAGACCAUUCCUUCAAGUUUAAGAGAAGUAUCUUUUCUGCCUAUUCAUAGAAAUAAAGACUGAAAGUCAAGCAAAAUGGGGAGACAGAGGAAUAUGCUCCAAACAAAACAAAACAACUCAGAAAAAGAACCAAAUGAAAUGGAGAUAAGCAAUAUGCCUGAUGAAGCGUUUAAGGUAAUGAUCAUAAAGUUGCUCACCAGACUGGAAUGAAGAGUGGAAGUACUCAGUAAGAACGUCAACAAAGAGAAAAUAUGAAAAAAAUCAGAGUUGAAGAAUAUAUCUACACUAGUGGGAAUAAACAUAUUAGCAGGUGAAGAGGAACAGAACAACAAUUUGGAAUACGGAGUAAUGGAAAACACCCAAGCUGAACAGCAAAAAGAAAAAGCUUUUAAAUGAGGGCAGGUUAAGGGAUCUUUUGCAUAGCAUAAAGUGAACAAAUGUUCAUAUAUAGGGGUCUCAGAAAAAGAAAAAAGGGGUGCACAAAACUUGAAGAAAUAAUAGUUGAAAACUUGCCUAAUCUGGAGAAGGAAACAGACAUCCAGGUUCAGGAAGCACAGAGAGUUCCAAAUAAGAUGAACCCAUGGAGGUCUACACCGUAACAUAUAAUAACUAAAAUGUCAAAAAUUAAAGAUAGAGAAUUUUAAAAGCACCAAGAAAGAAGGAAAAUUACAUACAUGGGAACCCCCUGCCAUAAGACUGUCAGAUGAUUUUUCAGCAGCAACUUUGCAGGCCAGAAGAGAAUGGCAGGAUAUAUUCAAAGUGCUGAAAGGAAAAAAAAUCUACAACUAAGAAUACUUUACCCAGCAAGACCAUCACUCAGGAUUGAGGGAGAGAUAAGAGUUUCCCAGGCAAACAAAAGGUAAAAGAGUUCAUCACCACUAAACCAUUCUUAGAAGAAAUGUUAAAGGGACUUCUUUAAGUAGAAAAGAAAAGGCUUUAAUUAGAAGUAAAAAAAAAAAAAUUAUGACUAAAAGAUGUAAAAUAUGACACUAUAUACAUAAAAUGUGGAGGGUGGAGCAAAAAAAGUUCUUUUAGAAUGUGUUCAAACUUAAGUGAACAUUAAUUUAAUAUAGAAAUCCAUAUACUUAGGAUGUUAUAUAUGAACCCCAUAGUAACUAUAAACCCAAAACCUUUAACAGAUACACAAAAAAUAAAGAUAAAGCCAAGCAUAACACUAAAGUCACUGAUCACAAGGAAUGAGAGCAAUAGAAGAAAGAAACAGAGAAGAACUACAAAAACAACCAGAAAACAAUGAACAAAAUGGCAAUAAGUACAUACCUAUCAACAAUUACUUUAAUUGCUAAUGGUCUAAAUGCUCCAAUCAAAAGACAUAGAGUGGCAUGAUGGAUUAAAAAGAAAGGCUCAUCUAUAUGCUACCUAUAAAAGAUUCACUUUUAGACCUUAAGACACGUACAGACUAAAAGUGAAAAGAUAAAAAAAAAAAAAAAAAAAAGAUAGUCCAUGCAAAUAGAAGGAAAAAAAACAGGGUAGCAAUACUUAGACGAAAUGACCUUAAAAAACAAAGACUGCAACAAGAGACAAAGGCAUUACAUAAUGAUAAAGGGAUCAAUCCAACAAGAUGAUAUAACAAUUGCAAAUAUCUAUGUACCCAACAUUGGAUCACCUAAACACACAUAGCAAAUAUCAACAGACAUAAGGGGGAGAAAUUGAUAGUAAUACAAUAAUAGCAAGGGACUUUAACAUCCCACUUACAUCAAUGAAUAGAUAAGUGAGGCAGAAAAUCAAUAAGGAAACCGUGUCUUUCAAUGAUACAUCAUAAAUAUUGACAGAUAUAUACAGAAUAUUCUAUCCAAAAACAACAGAAUACACUUUACAAGUGCACAUGAUACAGUGCAAAAGUCUCCAGGAUAGAACACAUGUUAGGCCACAAAACAGUCUCAAACUCAGGAAGACUGAAAUCAUACCAUGCAUCUUUUAUGAACACAAUGGUAUGAAACUAGAAAUCAAUCGCAAGGAAAAAAACUGGAAAAAACAUAAACAUGUGAAGGCCAACAACAUGUACCAAACAGCCAGUAGAUCAAUACGAAAUGAGAUGACAUUAAAAAAAUAGAAACAAGUGAAAAUGAAAACACAAUCAUCCAAAAUCUUUGGGACUCAGCAAAAGCAGUCCAAAGAGGGAAAUUUAUAGCAAUACAGGUCUACCUCAAGAAAUAAGAAAAAUCUCAAUCUAACAUUAUACCUAAAGAACUAGUGGGGAAAAAAAGCCAAAGGUGAAUAGAAGGAAGGAAUUGAAAGUCAAAGUAGAAAUAAAUGAAAUCGAGCCUAAAAGAAACAAUGGAAAAAAUCAAUGAAAUCAAGAGCUGGUUAUUUGAAAAGAUAGACAAUAAGCCUUUAGCCAUAUUCAUCAAGAAAAAAAAAAAGGAGGCAAAAGUGAAUAAAAUCAGAAAGGAAAGAGAAGAGACAACAGUCGCUACAGAAAUACAAAGGCAUAUGAGACUACUAUGAAAAACUAUGUGCCAACAAAAAUGGACAACCUAAAAUAAAUGGAUAAAUCCCUAGAAACAUACAAUCUUCCAAAAUUGAAUCAGAAAGAAAUAGAAAAUACAAACAGACCAACUACUACUAAUAAAACUGCAUAAAUAAUCCAAAAACUCCUCAACAAACAAAAGCCCAGGAGCAGAUAGAUUUACAGGUGAAUUCUACUAACCAUUUAAAAAAGGGUUAAUACCUAUUCUCAAGUUACUUCAUAAAGUAGAAUAGAGAGGAAAGCUUCCAAAUACAUUCUAUGAAGACAGAAUUAUUCUGAUACCAAAACCAAAGACACUACAGAAUAACCCAAAACCUACAGGCCAAUAUCCCUGAUGAACAUAGACGCAAAACUUCUCAACAAAAUAAUAGCAAACUGUGAUGAUUUUUUUAAUGUAUCAUUGAAUGCAAUCAAGUGGGAUUCAUUUCAGAGAUGCAAGGAUGGUUCAAUAUUUGCAAAUCAACAUGAUACCUCACAUCAGCAAGAGAAAGGAUAAAAAUCAUAGGACCAUUUCAAUACAUGCAGAAAAAGCAUUUGACAAAAUUCAACAUCUGUUCUUGAUAAAACUCUCAACCAAGUAGAUUUAGAGGGAACAUGCCUGAACACAAUAAAUAUCAUGAAAAACCCACAACUAUCAUCAUACUCAGUGGUGAAAAACAAAGUUUUUCCUUUAAGAUCAAGAACAGACAAGGAUGUCCACUCUCAAUACUUUUAUUCAACAUAGUAGUGGAAGUCCUAAUCACUGCAAUCAGACAAGAAAGAAGAGGUAACCAAAUUGAUAAGGAAGAAGUUAAACUGUCACUACUUGCAGAUGACAUGACACUAUACAGAGAAACCCUAAAGACUACAAUAAAAUUCUAUUAGAGUAAAUGAAUUCAGUAAAGGCUCAGGAUACAAAAUACACAGAAGUUGGUUGCUUUUCUAUACACUAACAAUGAAGCAGAAAGAAAAAUUAAGAAAAUAAUUCCAUUUAUAAUUGUACCAAAAAGAAUAAAAUACCGAGGAAUAAACUCUGAAAAUUAGAAAACACUGAUGAAAGAAAUUGAAAAUAAAAUCAAUGGGAAGAUAUUCCACACUCAAGGAUUAGAAGAAUUAAAAUUAUUAAAAUUUCCAUACUACCCAAAGCAAUAUACAGAUUGCCCCUAUGAAAAUACCAUCAGCAUUUUUCACAGAACUAGAAUGAAUAACCCUAAAAUUUGAAUGGAACCACAAAAGACCCCAAAUAGCCAAAACAAUCUUGAGAAGAACAUAGAUGGAAAUAUCAGAUACCCAGAUUUCAAAAUAUACUCUAAAACUGUAGUAAUCAAUGGUACCGGCACAUAGUUUAUAGAUGGCCAUUAUAGAUGGCCAUUAAUAGAUGACCAUUAUAUAGUCAAUUAAUCAAUGACAAAGGAGGCAAGAAUUUACAAUGGGGAGAAGAAAGUUUCUUCAAUAAAUGGUUCUGGAGAAGCUGGAUGACUUCCUUACACCAUACACAAAAAUAAACUCAAAAUGGAUUAAAGACCUAAAUAUGAGACCUGAAACCAUAAAACUCCUAGAAGAAAACAUGGGCAGUAAUCUCUUUGACACUGACCUUAGCAAUAUUUUUCUCUACAUAUGUCUCCUCGGGCCAGGGAAACAAAAGCAAAAAUAAACUACUGGGACAACACCAAAAUAAAAAGCUUUUGCACAGCAAAAGAAACCAAUAAAACAACUGGGCAACCUACUGAAUGGGAGAAGAUAUUUGCAAAUGAUCUGAUAAGGGGUUAAUAUCCAAAAUACAUAAAGAACUUAUAUAACUCAACACCAACAAAACCCAAACAAUCCAAUUUAAAAAUGGGCAGAGGAGCUGACUAGACAUUUUUCCAAAGAAGACAUACAGAUAGCCAACAGACACAUGAAAAACAUGCUUAACAUCAGUGAUCAUCAGGGAAAUGCAAAUCAAAACCACAGUGAGGGAUAACCUCACACCUCUCAGAGUGGCUAGAAUCAAAAACACAAGAGAUAGCAGUGUUGAUGAGGAACUGGAAAAAAAAAAAAGGGAACUCUUGUGCACUGUUGGUAGAAUGGAAAUUGCUGCAGCCACUGUGGAAAACAGUAUGGAGGUCCUUCAAAAACUAAAAAUAGAAACACCACAUGAUCCAAUAAUUCCACUGCUGUGUAUUUACCCAAAGAAAAUGAAACAUGAAUUCAAAAAGAUAUCUGUGCCCCUAUGUUUACUGCAACAUUAUUUACAACAGCCAAGAUAUGGAAGUAACCUGUUUCUACUGAUGGAUGAAUGGAUAAAGAAGAUAUGGUUGUGCAAAAGCUUUUUAUUUUGGUGUAGUCGCAAGGUUUAUUUUUGCUUUUGAUCCCCUCGUCCAAGAAGAUCUAUGCAGAAAAAUGUUGCCAAGAUUGAUGUCAAAGACAUUACUGCCUAAGUUUUCUUCUAGGACUUUUAUGGUGUCAGGUUUCACAUUUAAGUCUUUAAUAUAUUUUGAGUUUAUUUUUGUGUAUGGUGUAAGAAAGUGGCUAAGUUUCAUUCUUUUGCAUGUAGCUGUCCAGUUUUUCCAGCACCAUUUGUUGAAGAGAUUAUCUUUUCUCCAUUGUAUAUUCUUGCCCCCCUUGUGUAGGUUAAUUGACCAUACAAGUAUAGAUUUAUUUCUGGGCUCUCUAUUCUGUUCCAUUGAUCUACGUGUCUGUUUAUGUGUCAGUACCAUACAACAAAGGAAAAAAAGAGACCAAAAAAAAAAAAAAACCCUCUUAAAUAUAAAGAACAAAAGGUGGGUGGGGGAACGGGUGAAAUAGGUGAAGGGGAUUAAUAGUAUACUUAUAAUGAGCAUUAUGAAUGUACAUAAUUAUAGAAUUAUUGAAUCCCUAUAUUGUACACCUAAAACUUAAUAUAAUACUGUAUGUUAAUUAUAUUGGAAUUUAAAAAAUAAAAAUAGGGGCGCCUGGGUGGCGCAGUCGGUUAAGCGUCCGACUUCAGCCAGGUCACGAUCUCGCGGUCCGUGAGUUCGAGCCCCGCGUCGGGCUCUGGGCUGAUGGCUCAGAGCCUGGAGCCUGUUUCCGAUUCUAUGUCUCCCUGUCUCUCUGCUCCUCCCCCGUUCAUGCUCUGUCUCUCUCUGUCCCAAAAAUAAAUAAACGUUGAAAAAAAAAAUUUUUUUUAAUUUAAAAAAAUAAAUAAAUAAAAAAUAAAAAUAUAUACAAUUGUGAAUCUUAAGUAUAUACACUUGUACACCUUAAAUAUACACAAUUUUUGUUAAUCAUACCUCAAUAAAGCUGGGGAAAAUUCUCAAAACACCAACAAAGAAAGAAGAUACACACGAUGGAAUAUUAUUCAGCCAUAAAAAAGAAUGAGAUCUUAGCGUUUGUGACAACAUGGAUGGACCUAAAGGUAUUAUGCUAAGUGAAAUAAGUUAGAGAAAGACAAAUACCAUGUAAUUUUACUUAUAUGUAGAAUCUAAAAAAUACACAAAAACCAGACACAGACCCAUAAAUACAGAGAACUGAUGGCUGCCAGAAGGGAGAAGGGUAGGGGGUUAGGCAAAGUGGGUGAAGGGAAAUGGUACACACAGGCUUCCUGUAAUGGAAUAAAUCGUGGAGAUAAAAUGUACAGCAUAGUGUAUAUAGCCAAUGGUAUAAUAGCAUUACACAGUGUAGCUACACUUGUCCAACCUCUAUUGUACAUCUGAAACUAAUGUAACGUGUGUCAACUAUACUUUAUGUGCACACACAUCAUGAAGUUAGCAACAAAAGUAUAAAUUGAAAAAAAAAGCUAUAAAAGUGAAUACUAAGGUUUGUCAGUAGCUUCUAGCUUUGAACAUGUUCAUAUUCUAUGACCUAAUAGCAGCAUUACUCUUGAUGGGUAUUAGAGUGGUUUCUAGUUGUUGUUUUUUUUUUAAUUCUUAACAAAUAGACUGGUUAAACAAAUUAUGAUAUUCAUACAAUGGAAUAAAAUGCAGCACUGAAAAUGAAUAACUCACUGCUACAUGUAACAACAGAGUAACUUACAACCACAGUGCUGAGCAAAAGAGACCAGCAUAAAAUUAUUCACAUUAUAUUAUACCAUCCACCUAAAGUUAAGAAAGAUAAAACCUUUAGAGAAGACAGUGUAAUGGUUGCAGGGGGUAAUGUUUGGGAGGGCGACAUGAGGCAGGGCUGUUUGGGGCUGGCAACAUUCCAUUUCUCAACACGGAUGUUGAUUUCACAGGUUACUUCAUUUUAUGAUAAUUCAUCAAGUCAGACUCUUUUGAUUUGUGUACUUUUCUGUAUCCAUAUUUGAAUAAAAAGUUUACUUUAAAAAACUACUUAUAAAAGUUUUUAGCAAUUUAUAUUGGUUGGGAUAGUUUUCCUAGGGCUGAUACACUAUUUGAGAAAUUUGCAAAGGAAUUCUAAAAAUGCUAAAAUGUUGGCAAAACAGAAAUUGACAAGAGUUCAAAGAAAAUCAGUGUAAAUGAGGAAACAUCCAUUGCAAUGCAGACAUUUUAGAUAUAUUCAUAAGAAUAAUAUAUUCGUGACUAUAUUCAUAAGAAUGUUUACAUUUGAAACCAUAUUCAUCUUGACUAUAUUCAGUAAAUGUAUUCAAAAUGAGAAUCGGUAACUUUGGUAUAUUCAGCAAUGAACAUAUUCAUAAGAAUACAUUCAAGAAAAGUAUGUUUCAUGAAUAUAUUCAUAGAAGAAUUGGUAAAUCUGUCAAAUUUGGUGAAUUGGCUUUUGGCAAAUUGACCCAGAGGCCUUGUUGGGAAGUGGUGGGUAGGGUGUCAAUAGCUCAUCACCAGCUGGGAUUGGCCAAAUCUUAGCUUUUCCAGGAAUACUUCCUAGAACUGGAAGGAAAAAUAUGAAUCCCAACUCCUGCACAAUCCUCUUGUCUCCAUUCCUAGUGAAGCCACUGACCUGAUUCUGUAAGCUACAACUUCAGCCACCUCUUCCCAACUCUCAGGGAAGAGACCUCCAGACCAUUCUAGAAUAGCAGCCAUUGCUAUCGCAGAGCGAUUAUUACCUUUGCCAGCAGGUUUUGCCAUCCAAAACAUGUCUUACUCAGCUUGGCUUAAUAUUAAAGGGAGACUCUCCUGAGCAUUCAAUGACUAACUCUUAGGAGUGGGCUCUGAGAUUAUCUGAGAUUAACCCUACCCAGUGGCUAAAUAACUCUGGUUCCACAAGUCCAAACGGUAAUUGCUCACAUUUGCUCCACUGACCCAAGACACACAAAUGGUUGAGCAUAGGUCUUGGACUGAUUCCCUUAUCUGUGCCUCAUGCCCCAAAGGCAGUCUGCAGCAGGACAAAGAAGGCAGUCUGAAGGUAAGGAUUUACUCAUCACCAGGGCAGGAGGGACUGCCAGACCUUAGACCUACAGAAUCACUGCUGAUCUCAAUCCUUCUCCCUCAGAAUGAUUAUUUAUGAUUACAGCCAGCCUGCAGUUCCCUUGUGUGUGUGAAUGCACACGUGUGUGUGUGUGUGUGUGUGUGUGUGUGUGUGUGUAUGGUAGGGGGCAGAUUGCAGAAGGUCUAUGCCUCUAGCUCUGUCACACCCACCUACCCUCACCCCCAAACAUCCCUGACGCAGCUCCAGGAAAGGCCAUUCUCUGGACUCGGCAUCAUCAGGGGAAUGCUUGCCAGCCUUGGUGUCCAGCAGAGGGGGCCCAUGCUCUCUCUGCUCUGCCCCAGCCUGCCCCCCCCCCCCUCAGCAUCCUGGACUCAGGCUCUCCUGUUCCACUCUGCUGUCCUGUCCUUCCCCCAGGUAGGCCUCACAGCCUCACCUGCUUCUCCACUGGUGGGUCUGCAUGGGCCAUCCUGACUUUUUUCCCCAAACUCUCUGCCCCUCCCCGUCCCCCCUCCUUCCCGCCACAAUCCUCUGCCAUUGUCUGUGAAGUACUACCCAACAAGAGUGAAGAUGAAUUCUGAAGAACAUCUGUGUUCCAAUCCUGGCUCCACCACUCACUGGUAACAUGGCCUCAGACAGCAUGUCCCCAUUUUAGACAUGAGAGAAUGGAUGUACCCAUAGUGAUUGUGAGGACCAAUGAAGCCAUCCACAAGGAAUGUUUCAUGCAAUGCAUGCUACAUGGUUCCCAUUGAAUUACAAAGUGCCCAUCUGGAAAAAGCCUGUGUAGGGGGGAUUCCCUAACCUAGAAAACCUAGAUGCCUCCAAGGGUUACCCAACCAGUUUCCUACUUUUCUGAACAGGGCACGCUUAAAAUAAUGUGCCAGAGGUCUUCUAUGAACCUAGUAGCUCUCGAGGAGGGUAAAGACUGAUGAGCUCAAUACAUGCCAGGCCCUGUUCUAGGUGCUUGCUAUUAUCAUUGGUCAGCAUUUCUGGCCCAGCUGGCGCAGAUAUCAACAGAUCCCUCACCUUGGAGAGUUUGCAGGCUGAGGCACAGGAAAUGUGUCGCAUGUCUGGCACAUGUGCUGAUAUAAACAAGCGCAUAUAUUUACAGUAACCGUAGUUUUAAAUUUUGUCCUUGGCUUUGGGUUUUUUUGGUGGGGGGAAGGGGCAGAUUGAAAAUGAGAAAGUUUUCCUCAGUCCCAGUUCACGGAUUCCUGCCCAUUGGCCCUCCCAGAUGCCUCUCCACUCUAGGCCUCCCCAUGCCCUCAAACAUACCUUCCACUUUGGGUUUGGCCUCAGCCAGACGCUCCUGGAACUUCUUUUUGAAGAACAGGGCCUGUAGUCGCUGCUGGUAGUGGUCGAUCCUGUGGAUGGGGCGAGCCACAUCAUGAGGCAGCCCCUCCAGCUCCAGGAGCCAGAUCCAGACCCUCUUUUGCCUGUGCACCCCCAGCACCCCCCCUCCAUGCCCACUGCCCUGACCUGCUCAUUUCAUAGAGGAAGCGGUCAGCCCGGGCCAUCCGCUCGAUCUCAUGCUUGUGCUCCUCGAGGAGGUCAAUGUCGCUCUUCUCUGGGAUGAACUUGAGGAGCUGCAAAGAGCAGAUGGAGGUCACACAGGAAACUGCUGAGAAACUAAUAUGAGGGUGCUAUGCGUGGAUGCCCAUACACUGCCCAGGCUCAAGAUGGGGAGGGGUCCUUAAAAGAGAGAGGCAUCUUCAUAUGGUAGGUUUACGCUUCAUCUGCCCAAAGGGGACCACAGGACACCCAGCUCUAGACUUUUCUUUUUUCACUUUUUAAAACUGAGAUGUAAUUUAUAUAAAGUACACUAUUCUUAAGUACACAGCUCAAUGAUUUUUUUCUUUUAAACCCAAGUUUAUUGAGGUAUAAUUUACAUAAAAUGCAUCUAUCUUAAAUGUUCAGUUCAAUGAAUUUUGACAAAACCACCCACUGAACUGCCAUCUAGAUUAAGAUACAGAAGAUUUCCAUCCCCCAGAAAGUUCUUUCGUAUCACUUCAGUAAGCCACACCUCCACCUUAUAGCCUCUCAACUGAAUUCUAUCACCUUAGAUUACAUUUACCUAGUCUUGAACUUCGUAUAAAUGGACUCAUGCUAUGUGUUUUCUUUGGUGUCUGGCUUCAUUUGCAUAACAUAAUGUCUGAGACUCAUCCAUGCUGUAAGUAUUGGUAGUUUGCUUUUUAUACGUGUUGGACAGUAUUCUAUUGUAGGAAUAUACCACAGUAUAUUUAUGCAAUUUCUCAUUGAUGGACAGUUGGAUUGUAGACAGCUUGGGGGUUUCAUGAAUAAAAGUGUUAUAAAUAUUCUUGCGUCUAUCUCGUAGAGUCAACGUUUGCACUCAUUUCUCUGCAUCUAGCCACAGGAUUGCUGGGCAGUAGGAUAGAUUUAGCCUUUGCAUGGACUGCCAAAUUGUUCCCCAAAUUAUUGUAGCCAGUGGGAAUCCCAGUCGCUUCACAUCCUUGUCAACAUUUGGCAUUGUCAGUAUCUUUUCAAUUUUAGCUAUUCCAGUAGGGGGGUGUGGUGCUGCCUCACUGUGGUUUACUGUGUUUCUUGGAUGCCUACAACUGUUGAGCCACUCGGAAAUUCUCUUUCAUUGAAGUACCUGUUCAAGUCUUCUGCUCAUUUUCAAGUGGAGCUGUUUGUUAUUUUCUCACUGAUCGGUAGAGUUCUUUAUUCUGAAUAUGAGAUCUUUGCUAGAUGUCCAUAAAGCAAAUGUCUUCUAAGGUCUGGCUUGUCUUUUCCCUCUAGCAAUGGUGCCUUUUGAUGAACAGAGUUCUUCAUUCUAAUGAGGUCCAACUGAUGGUGGUUUUGUUUGGUGCUUUCUAGGUUUCUUUUGAAGGACCCAAUAAAUUGAGGUAGAAGAGAUUUGGGGAAAAUAUGACUAUAGGUCACUCUGACUUUGUCUUGGGCCCAGGGGGGAUCAUACCUCAU